Molecule: ribosomal RNA, 440 nt
Filed under: uncultured bacterium
Lineage: Bacteria
Description: bacterial SSU rRNA
Rfam family: Bacterial small subunit ribosomal RNA
Source: RNAcentral
AACGCGAAGAACCUUACCUGGGCUCGAAAUGCAGAGGAAGAUACCAGAAAUGGUCUCGUCCGCAAGGACUUCUGUAUAGGUGCUGCAUGGCUGUCGUCAGCUCGUGCCGUGAGGUGUUUGGUUAAGUCCAGCAACGAGCGCAACCCUUAUCAUUAGUUGCCAACACGUAAGGUGGGGACUCUAAUGAGACUGCCUAGGUUAACUAGGAGGAAGGCGAGGAUGACGUCAAGUCCGCAUGGCCUUUAUGUCCAGGGCUACACACGUGCUACUAUGGUCGGUACAAACCGUCGCAAACCCGUGAGGGGGAGCUAAUCGGAAAAAGCCGGCCUCAGUUCGGAUUGGAGUCUGCAACUCGACUCCAUGAAGCUGGAAUCGCUAGUAAUCGCGGAUCAGAACGCCGCGGUGAAUACGUUCCCGGGCCUUGUACACACCGACGCGUA